This 73-nucleotide transfer RNA is filed under the name Wolbachia pipientis. RNAcentral's name for it is "tRNA-Phe". It matches the Rfam family "tRNA". From Rfam's summary of the family: Transfer RNA (tRNA) molecules are approximately 80 nucleotides in length. The record is from RNAcentral. Lineage: Bacteria; Pseudomonadati; Pseudomonadota; Alphaproteobacteria; Rickettsiales; Anaplasmataceae. RNAcentral also lists the same sequence under 2 other names.
GGCCUGAUAGCUCAGUUGGUAGAGCAAAGGACUGAAAAUCCUUGUGUCGCUGGUUCGAUCCCUGCUCAGGCCA